Sinorhizobium meliloti 1021 is the source of this 119-nucleotide small RNA. It matches the Rfam family "Alphaproteobacterial ar14". From Rfam's summary of the family: Smr14C2 was renamed NfeR1 (Nodule Formation Efficiency RNA) highly expressed in salt stress and during the symbiotic interaction on legume roots. The record is from Rfam. Lineage: Bacteria; Pseudomonadati; Pseudomonadota; Alphaproteobacteria; Hyphomicrobiales; Rhizobiaceae.
CCUUGUCGAAGCGCUGUACCUCCUCCCACGGCGCCCGGCAUUCGGUCGGUUCACUCCUCCUCCCAGAACCGAUCAAGUUUAAGACCCCGAGCCACCUCCUCCCGGCUCGGGGUCUUUCU